Molecule: ribosomal RNA, 468 nt
Filed under: uncultured bacterium
Lineage: Bacteria
Description: partial 16S ribosomal RNA
Rfam family: Bacterial small subunit ribosomal RNA
Source: RNAcentral
GACGAACGCUGGCGGCGUGCUUAACACAUGCAAGUCGAACGGAAAGGCCCUGCUUUUGUGGGGUUCUCGAGUGGCGAACGGGUGUGUAACACGUGUGUAACCUGCCCUUUACUUUGGGAUAACUUCUGGAAACUGUGGCUAAUACCGGAUAGGAGCUCCUGCUGCAUGGUGGGGGUUGGAAAGUUUCGGCGGUUGGGGAUUGACUCGCGGCUUAUCAGCUUGUUUGUGGGGUAGUGGCUUACCAAGGCUUUGACGGGUAGCCGGCAUGAGAGGGUGACCGGCAAAAAUGGGACUGAGAAACGGAGCAGAAGAGUACGGGAGGCAGCAGGGGGGAAUAUUGCAGAAUGGGCGGAAGACUGAUGCAGAAACGCAGGGUGCGGGAUGAAGGCAUAAGGGUUGGAAAAAGAAUUAGCAUGUGAAGAAGAGGGAGUGACGGUAAUGGGUAAAGAAGCACCGGCUAACUACGUG